AGUGAACGCUGGCGGUAGGCCUAACACAUGCAAGUCGAACGGCAGCACAGUAAGAGCUUGCUCUUACGGGUGGCGAGUGGCGGACGGGUGAGGUAUACAUCGGAAUCUACUUUUUCGUGGGGGAUAACGUAGGCAAACUUACGCUACUACCGCAUACGACCUACGGGUGAAAGCAGGGGAUCUUCGGACCUUGCGCGAUUGAAUGAGCCGAUGUCGGAUUAGCUAGUUGGCGGGGUAAAGGCCCACCAAGGCGACGAUCCGUAGCUGGUCUGAGAGGAUGAUCAGCCACACUGGAACUGAGACACGGUCCAGACUCCUACGGGAGGCAGCAGUGGGGAAUAUUGGACAAUGGGCGCAAGCCUGAUCCAGCCAUACCGCGUGGGUGAAGAAGGCCUUCGGGUUGUAAAGCCCUUUUGUUGGGAAAGAAAAGCAGCAGGUUAAUACCCCGCUGUUCUGACGGUACCCAAAGAAUAAGCACCGGCUAACUUCGUG
Molecule: ribosomal RNA, 492 nt
Filed under: uncultured bacterium
Lineage: Bacteria
Description: partial 16S ribosomal RNA
Rfam family: Bacterial small subunit ribosomal RNA
Source: RNAcentral